Molecule: ribosomal RNA, 457 nt
Filed under: Microcystis viridis
Lineage: Bacteria; Bacillati; Cyanobacteriota; Cyanophyceae; Chroococcales; Microcystaceae
Description: bacterial SSU rRNA
Rfam family: Bacterial small subunit ribosomal RNA
Source: RNAcentral
ACUUCAGGACGGGGACAACAGUUGGAAACGACUGCUAAUACCCGAUGUGCCGCGAGGUGAAACCUAAUUGGCCUGAAGAAGAGCUUGCGUCUGAUUAGCUAGUUGGUGGGGUAAAAGCCUACCAAGGCGACGAUCAGUAGCUGGUCUGAGAGGAUGAGCAGCCACACUGGGACUGAGACACGGCCCAGACUCCUACGGGAGGCAGCAGUGGGGAAUUUUCCGCAAUGGGCGAAAGCCUGACGGAGCAACGCCGCGUGAGGGAGGAAGGUCUUUGGAUUGUAAACCUCUUUUCUCAAGGAAGAAGUUCUGACGGUACUUGAGGAAUCAGCCUCGGCUAACUCCGUGCCAGCAGCCGCGGUAAUACGGGGGAGGCAAGCGUUAUCCGGAAUUAUUGGGCGUAAAGCGUCCGCAGGUGGUCAGCCAAGUCUGCUGUCAAAUCAGGUUGCUUAACGACCUA